This 344-nucleotide long non-coding RNA is filed under the name Carica papaya (papaya). Its description in RNAcentral is "long non-coding RNA (CPAP_LNC005790)". The record is from RNAcentral. Lineage: Eukaryota; Viridiplantae; Streptophyta; Magnoliopsida; Brassicales; Caricaceae.
UUGGCCGUUUUCGGUCGAAUACGGCCAAACUUGCAUUGGUUCCUGCGAUAAAACAACCCUAGGGUCCUCGGUGGGCCAAAAAAUCACGAAAAACUGAGACUUACCGGCGACGAAGCUCUCGGGUGUGGCGGCUUCUCCGCCGUAAGUCGCGAUUUGAUGUUUUGCUCCGGUCAUCCUGUAGAGAAAAGGACGGUGAUCACAGUGGUGUAAAAAUUGCAUCAAAUGGGAAUCAGAAAGGGCCUCAUCGGAGGCAAAAAUCGAGGGAAGCCGCGGCGGCGCCGCUGGACUUCAGCGGUGUUUUUCGGCUAAUUAGCCGGUGGUUUAGCUCCAAUUUGGCUAUAUGC